CGGCUCUUGAAACUUGGGGAACAGCCUGUGCUAAAUCUGGGCAAACACUACAAGAUCCUUCCUGGGGUAAAUGAGAGAUAAUCUCAAAUUUCAAGAUGUUUGGCUUGGCCUAUGAGGGCUGAAGAGAGACUAUGUGGAUUAUGAUGGGGAGGGUUGGGGUAGAUAAUAAUUAAUUUGGAUUUGAAACAGGGAGGAUGUUUUUGCGGUACAGGCAUCACGACAUAUCUCAGCGGACACUACAGACAGUUUUAUAGGUUCACAGUAACUCCAGAAGACUGCCAAAAUGAGAAAUAAUAGUUUGCACUGCGGGGGGACUCACCGCUGCGGGCAGUCGGGUGGGUAAAGCUCUAAUCUUACUUCAUUGUAACGUGGACUGUGAAACAGGCUGUAGCUGGAUCCUGGCAAAGGAGCAGCUGCAUUGGAUCCACCUCAGAUUCAGAGCACAUGAAAAAAAGUCCUGCCGAGAUGGGCAACUGCAUGCAAGUGGGCAAGACAGAUGACAGCUUGUGUGAGAAAUACGGGCCCACAGAGCACUCUCGGUAAAGGCUGAGGACCGUGAGGGCUGUUAGCUCUGCCCUCUGUUCAACUCAAAUGGGGAAGAGAAUGCAGAUGAACCGCUGAAUAUUUCAGUUUCUUUGGGACAAGAGAUGGAUGCGAGUACAAUGCAAGACAGUGACUUUUUGGUUCUUCAUCUUCUCAGAAAAAAUAAAAGAGCGGACCACCAAAACUGACAUGGCACAUCGGAAGACAGACAGAAGAACAAAUGGAAAAAUAUGACUGUCACCCUUGGCAAUGCUGGUGCUGCCAGACAUCCCCACGUGCUGAGGCAGGUCUGUGAUCUGCACCACUGAAGCAGACUGUGUACUGCUGGCGGUGAAGCAUGACUUUACAAUUGACUCCAAUCAUGCAACUGAGUUCAGAACUGGUGAAGUCAAUGGGAAUCUUGGAGGACAUGGGAGUGCUGUCGAGGAACAGUCACCAGAUCAGGGCUUUGGACUGCAAGCAACAGCUCCAAGACGUUGGACAAGCCUCUCCCGUGACAGCACCCUUCCCCGAGUUGACCAUGAGUCACUGGAGACUAUAGUUCAAACUGCU
Long non-coding RNA from Aquila chrysaetos chrysaetos, 1095 nucleotides. RefSeq lists it as uncharacterized. Lineage: Eukaryota; Metazoa; Chordata; Aves; Accipitriformes; Accipitridae. The record is from RefSeq and is a predicted model, not a curated record. The transcript is spliced from 4 exons.